UACGUAGGGUGCAAGCGUUGUCCGGAAUUAUUGGGCGUAAAGAGCUCGUAGGCGGUUUGUCGCGUCGACUGUGAAAACCCGGGGCUCAACCCCGGGCCUGCAUUCGAUACGGGCAGACUAGAGUUCGGUAGGGGAGUCUGGAAUUCCUGGUGUAGCGGUGAAAUGCGUAGAUAUCAUUUGGAACGCCAAUGGUGAAAACAGGUUGCUGGGAGUGUGCUGACACUGAGACACGAAAGCCAGGGGAGCAAACGGG
Molecule: ribosomal RNA, 253 nt
Filed under: uncultured bacterium
Lineage: Bacteria
Description: partial 16S ribosomal RNA
Rfam family: Bacterial small subunit ribosomal RNA
Source: RNAcentral